RNAcentral lists this long non-coding RNA (485 nucleotides) under Cyanistes caeruleus (blue tit). RNAcentral describes it as "lncRNA (ENSCCEG00000015724.1)". Lineage: Eukaryota; Metazoa; Chordata; Aves; Passeriformes; Paridae. The record is from RNAcentral.
CAGGAGAUGGCACCAUUAACAAAAUAAUUUGAGUGCCACGUAUAAGAUCCUCUCGACCACCUCUACGUCUGAGUGCUCUGGCAACUCCAGGUGUUAUUUGGGUGUGAUCCUGUGUAUCAUUUAGCCAGGAAAUCCUCACAUGCCAGUCACCCCAGGCAUGGUGAGGGGGUCCUGCCCACUGCAUCACUGCUGACUUUUUGCUCCUGCUGGCAGAUCAGGACUUAGCAAACACAGGAAGAGGCUAGGAGAUACUGGGCAACAUUUUCCUCUCUGAUAAGCUGCCAUUAACUUGUAUGAAGACCUGAAUGCAGUGUCAGAGAAGGGCCGAUGUGAAGUGGACUAGCUCAAAUCACAGCUGCAAGAGCCAAAUGCAAAUACUUAAACACUCCUUCCCAGAGGAUGAAGAUGGGGAAAGGCUCUAUGUCUUCCCUCACAGAAUGCUUCAUCAGCUCCAAGCUUCUCAUGACACCUGCUUCAAUUUGUGA